RNAcentral lists this long non-coding RNA (1305 nucleotides) under Cyanistes caeruleus (blue tit). RNAcentral describes it as "lncRNA (ENSCCEG00000013221.1)". The record is from RNAcentral. Lineage: Eukaryota; Metazoa; Chordata; Aves; Passeriformes; Paridae.
AAAAACAGAUUAAAACAAUUACUACUCUGAUGACCAAAAUCUGGAGGUCUGGACACCGCUCAUCUUUUGGGCUUUGUACACAAUGCUGAGUUCAAACUAAGACUGUGGUUUCCAGCCCCAGAUUCAUUCUUCUGUCCAACUAUUAUUCAACUGUGACACAGAAAAACAACAUUUCUCUACUUUCAAGGGGUUGGGUUUUGCUUUAUAAUGUCUUGUUAUUUUCUCUUUUCCAGCAUUUACUGUACAGAGAGAAUUAGAGAUAAGUUUCAAUAUUCUUGUAUUGCUUAUAAAGAAUAAUUUACUGCCAUAAACUGAAAUUUGUUGAGCAGAGAUUGUAUUUCUAUGUGAAGUUCUUCCAGCACUGGAAAAAAAAUAAAAAAAAAAUUUACAGGAUAUGCAUCAUAUUGAAUAAGUAUCUUUCCUUCUUAUCAGAAUCUUCUGUUUAUAAAUAAUCUAUUAAAAAAGCCAAACUGGUGCAAAAGCACUGUAAAAUAUGACAUACUCCUGAAACUAGGCUUCUGUAUCACUUCUUCAUUUGAAAUUAACCCUGAGCUUCCCACAGCUUUGUUUGCUGUCACCCCUUCAUGUCUUGUUGCUUUCUUCAUUUACUUCUUUAUAGCAUGAGGUUGCUCUGGUAUUUGUGUGGUAUCUUCAUGUGUUGUUUGCAGGUAACUUAGCUCCUUUGCAGCUCAAAGGUAAAGUUUGCACAGCAUUAUGCUGCUUCAUGAGCCUUGAUCUUGUUGAGGGCACAUGCCCACAGGGCCAGGCUUAUAAUUAACAAAAUUCAUCCAAGCUGGAAGAGGUUAUGAAUGCGUUAUUUCAAUGAGAAUUUAUCCUAAUACUCUAGGCAGACCAAGUUCAACACGAGUUUGUUAUUUAUAUAAACACUGAAAAAAAUUGCUUUAGAGUCUUGAACUUCCUAUUUUUUUGUCCCCUGUCUUGUAAAUUCUUAUAAUAGUCAGUAGUAUCAGGAAUGGUUAUUUCUAUCCUCCUUUGCAAGACAGCUGGUUGUUUGCUGCAUAGAAGCUGCUAACCUGGGGGAGUGUGCUUUUUCCAGGAGACCACCAGAUCACAGCAGAGGGACAGCGAAAGCGAAUGUCCUGUACCGACAAAGGCAGAAGAGUGAAAAGAAAAGGCACGUUCUGAGAACAAACCGAGAGAGUCUGGCGUGGGAGCAGGACGCGGUGACACCCGGAUUCUCCCGCUGGCUCCAGGCGCGCCCGUGGCUCGGGAUAAUCCCGGGAGCGGCUCCGGCUCCGGCUCGUCCCGCCCGGGGCUGGGCGCUCCCAACUGCGCCCCCUGGCG